Fukomys damarensis (Damara mole-rat) is the source of this 211-nucleotide long non-coding RNA. RefSeq lists it as uncharacterized. Lineage: Eukaryota; Metazoa; Chordata; Mammalia; Rodentia; Bathyergidae. The record is from RefSeq and is a predicted model, not a curated record. The transcript has 3 exons.
CAGACUUUUGACUGGAUCCUCCAGAUCUCCAGUGUGCCAUCAGACCCUCUGCACUGCUCCAUAUCCAAUUCUGCCAAUUAAUCUUGUAGAAGAAACUUCAAAGCAGUCCAAUGUUGAGGAGGUGGUGUUGUCAUCCACGAGCCCGCUCACGGAGCGAGGUUCAGGAGCUUGGACUGGAGGUGCCUGUCAGCCACACCACCCUACCUUGGAG